This 408-nucleotide ribosomal RNA is filed under the name uncultured Methylomirabilota bacterium. RNAcentral describes it as "bacterial SSU rRNA". It matches the Rfam family "Bacterial small subunit ribosomal RNA", at positions 1027 to 1434 of the family's 1533-position model. The record is from RNAcentral. Lineage: Bacteria; Methylomirabilota (SeqCode).
CGUGGAGACAGGUGGUGCAUGGUUGUCGUCAGCUCGUGUCGUGAGAUGUUGGGUUAAGUCCCGCAACGAGCGCAACCCUCACCUCUUGUUGCCAUCAGGUCAUGCUGGGCACUCUAGAGGAACUGCCCCGGUCAACGGGGAGGAAGGCGGGGAUGACGUCAAGUCAUCAUGCCCCUUACGUCCUGGGCUACACACGUGCUACAAUGGCCGGUACAAAGGGAUGCCACACCGCGAGGUAGAGCUAAACCCAAAAAGCCGGUCUAAGUUCAGAUUGGAGUCUGCAACUCGACUCCAUGAAGGAGGAAUCGCUAGUAAUCGCGUAUCAGCACGACGCGGUGAAUACGUUCCCGGGCCUUGUACACACCGCCCGUCACACCACGAAAGCCUGCUGUACUCGAAGUCGCUGAG